RNAcentral lists this long non-coding RNA (325 nucleotides) under Jatropha curcas. RNAcentral's name for it is "long non-coding RNA (JCUR_LNC001818)". Lineage: Eukaryota; Viridiplantae; Streptophyta; Magnoliopsida; Malpighiales; Euphorbiaceae. The record is from RNAcentral.
CCACCGACGAAGACUACGCCAGAGAAUCCAGCAGCUUAAAAACGAUGAAAUAAACUCCAAUAGAACAUGAAGAAACUGUUAAUGGAGCAGUAAAGAGCAAGGAGGACAUUUGUGACACUUAACUGAUGUUUGUAUAAUUUACGAGUACCUUGUAUAUGAAUAGCCUACGAGUACCUUGUAUAGGAAGCAGUAUAAUAGAAGAGGUAAAUUUGUACACAGACAUCUCAUGGGUUACAUGCUUCAGUUUUUGACUUUGCUCAACCCAUUUGCUUGUAGGAUAAAAAAAAAAAACAAAAAUACUGAGCGCCUGAGUGUGAAAUUUGUG